GUCAGUGUGGCAUAGUGGUUUGCGCAUUGGACUACAACUCUGAAGACCAGAGUUCAAAUCACCUCUCAAG
This is a non-coding RNA of Phrynosoma platyrhinos (Desert horned lizard), 70 nucleotides long. Lineage: Eukaryota; Metazoa; Chordata; Lepidosauria; Squamata; Phrynosomatidae. The record is from the annotation of a GenBank genome assembly.